CCAAAUAUUUCAAAUUUCCGCGCCUUAAAUAACAGUCUCCUUUUAUUUAGUUAGUUUCCUCGGCAGGUUUGGCCGCCCACUUGUCUCUGUCCCUCUACGAGCCUGAGACGCCACGGGCGCCUAGUUGCUGCUUGCAGCCCCCUCGUGCUGCCCCAGGCCCAGUUUGCACCGCAUCCAGCGCGCGACUAGAGCCACUGCACCCUCCUGCCGCGACCUCGCAUGACCCAGCUGUCCAGGCACCCAGAGCCACUAAGGCCGCCCCGACCCGGACGCCUGCCUGCUUCUCAGCUUGACUUCCCUUCCCGAACUUGGGAGCGUCUUCUGCUUUGGGGUUUGGAUCACCAUGGCUCUGGAGCGGCGAAAGGGCUGCAACUAUAGGAAGGCAGCGGAGAAGGCCAGUGGCCGAAGCCAGCCCCAGCCCCCACCCCGCGGGUAACCUUGGAGGCGCCCUCGGAGCAGCGGUCCGCGAGGAGGCGGCAGCCACCCCACUGGAUAGUUCUGGCGACCUGUGCCUGAGGACUGGGGCCGAAGGGCGGCGUGGGAGCAGGAGUGAUCGGGCGGACCCUGUUUAGGCUCUACCAACAGAAAAAAUGGACCAAGUCCCUCC
Marmota flaviventris (yellow-bellied marmot) is the source of this 607-nucleotide long non-coding RNA. RefSeq lists it as uncharacterized. The record is from RefSeq and is a predicted model, not a curated record. NCBI's taxonomy places the organism in Eukaryota, Metazoa, Chordata, Mammalia, Rodentia, Sciuridae.